GUUAGGAAUAUUGGACAAUGGGCGCAAGCCUGAUCCAGCCAUGCCGCGUGAGUGAUGAAGGCCUUCGGGUUGUAAAGCUCUUUAGUCCACGAAUAUAAUGACUGUAGUGGAAGAAUAAGCCCCGGCUAACUUCGUGCCAGCAGCCGCGGUAAUACGAAGGGGGCGAGCGUUAUUCGGAAUCACUGGGCGUAAAGCGUGCGUAGGCUGUUUUGUAAGUCAGAAGUGAAAGCCCAGGGCUUAACCCUGGAAUUGCUUUUGAAACUACAAGACUCGAAUUCGGGAGAGGAUAGCGGAAUUGUCAGUGUAGCAGUGAAAUGCGUAGAUAUUGACAGGAACACCAGUGGCGGAAGCGGCUAUCUGGACGAGUAUUGACGCUGAGGCACGAAAGCGUGGGGAUCAAACAGGAUUAGAUACCCUUGUAGUCC
RNAcentral lists this ribosomal RNA (425 nucleotides) under uncultured bacterium. Its description in RNAcentral is "partial 16S ribosomal RNA". It matches the Rfam family "Bacterial small subunit ribosomal RNA", at positions 354 to 796 of the family's 1533-position model. The record is from RNAcentral.